Molecule: unclassified non-coding RNA, 341 nt
Filed under: soil metagenome
Description: partial contains 5.8S ribosomal RNA, internal transcribed spacer 2, and large subunit ribosomal RNA
Rfam family: 5.8S ribosomal RNA (bases 1-120)
Source: RNAcentral
GAUGAAGAACGCGGCGAAAUGCGAUAAGUAGUGUGAAUUGCAGAAUUCAGUGAAUCAUCGAAUCUUUGAACGCACAUUGCGCCCUUUGGUAUUCCAAAGGGCAUGCCUGUUCGAGCGUCAUUUGUACCCUCAAGCUUUGCUUGGUGUUGGGCGUCUUGUCUCUAGCUUUGCUGGAGACUCGCCUUAAAGUAAUUGGCAGCCGGCCUACUGGUUUCGGAGCGCAGCACAAGUCGCACUCUCUAUCAGCAAAGGUCUAGCAUCCAUUAAGCCUUUUUUUCAACUUUUGACCUCGGAUCAGGUAGGGAUACCCGCUGAACUUAAGCAUAUCAAUAAGCGGAGGA